RNAcentral lists this long non-coding RNA (222 nucleotides) under Mytilus galloprovincialis (Mediterranean mussel). Lineage: Eukaryota; Metazoa; Mollusca; Bivalvia; Mytilida; Mytilidae. The record is from RNAcentral.
AAUAAGUCAACAAGACCAAAAUGGUCUGUUGAUCCCUUUAGGAGUUAUUGUCCUUUAUAGUCAAUUUUUAACCAUUUUUCGUAAAUCUUAGUUAUCUUUUACAAAAAUCUUCUCCUCUGAAACUACUGGGUCAAAUUAAACCAAACUUGGCCACAAUCAUCAUUGGGGUAUCUAGUUUAAAAAUUGUGUCCGAUGACCCGGCCAACCAACCAAGAUGGCCAC